CCUACGGGAGACAGCAGUGGGGAAUAUUGCACAAUGGGGGAAACCCUGAUGCAGCGACGCCGCGUGAGUGAAGAAGUAAUUCGUUAUGUAAAGCUCUAUCAGCAGGGAAGAAAAUGACGGUACCUGCGUAAGAAGCCCCGGCUAACUACGUGCCAGCAGCCGCGGUAAUACGGAGGGGGCAAGCGUUAUCCGGAUUUACUGGGUGUAACGGGAGCGUAGACGGCAGUGCAAGUCUGGAGUGAAAGGCGGGGGCUCAACCCCCGGACUGCUCUGGAAACUGUACGGCUGGAGUGCAGGAGAGGUAAGUGGAAUGCCUAGUGUAGCGGUGAAAUGCGUAGAUAUUAGGAGGAACACCAGUGGCGAAGGCAGCCUGCUGGACAGAAACUGACGUUGAGGCUCGAAAGCGUGGGGAGCAAACAGGAUUAGAUACCCCAGUAGUC
RNAcentral lists this ribosomal RNA (440 nucleotides) under uncultured bacterium. RNAcentral describes it as "partial 16S ribosomal RNA". It matches the Rfam family "Bacterial small subunit ribosomal RNA", at positions 338 to 795 of the family's 1533-position model. The record is from RNAcentral.